This 133-nucleotide non-coding RNA is filed under the name Alexandrium tamarense. The record is from RNAcentral. Lineage: Eukaryota; Dinophyceae; Gonyaulacales; Pyrocystaceae.
AUCCCAGGGGGUCACCAUCCUACUGCUGCUCGUAUUCCUCCACAGAUGGCCAGAACGAUGGAAUGAGCGAUCCUCCCUGGUGGAAUGCCGGAGGGUGGAGGGCCAGAAGAGAAUCCCGGAUCCUGGUCGAAUG